Molecule: unclassified non-coding RNA, 341 nt
Filed under: soil metagenome
Description: partial contains 5.8S ribosomal RNA, internal transcribed spacer 2, and large subunit ribosomal RNA
Rfam family: 5.8S ribosomal RNA (bases 1-120)
Source: RNAcentral
GAUGAAGAACGUAGCGAAAUGCGUUAAGUAGUGUGAAUUGCAGAAUUCAGUGAAUCAUCGAAUCUUUGAACGCACAUUGCGCCCUUUGGUAUUCCAAAGGGCAUGCCUGUUCGAGCGUCAUUUGUACCCUCAAGCUUUGCUUGGCGUUGGGCGUCUUGUCUCUAGCUUUGCUGGAGACUCGCCUUAAAGUAAUUGGCAGCCGGCCUACUGGUUUCGGAGCGCAGCACAAGUCGCACUCUCUAUCAGCAAAGGUCUAGCAUCCAUUAAGCCUUUUUUUCAACUUUUGACCUCGGAUCAGGUAGGGAUACCCGCUGAACUUAAGCAUAUCAAUAAGCGGAGGA